AACGAACGCUGGCGGCAGGCCUAACACAUGCAAGUCGAACGCUCGUAGCAAUACGGGAGUGGCAGACGGGUGAGUAACACGUGGGAACCUUCCCUAUGGUUCGGAAUAGCUCAGGGAAACUUGGGGUAAUACCGGAUAAGCCCUUCGGGGAAAGGAUUUAUCGCCAUUGGAUGGGCCCGCGUCGGAUUAGCUAGUUGGUGAGGUAACGGCUCACCAAGGCAACGAUCCGUAGCUGGUCUGAGAGGAUGAUCAGCCACACUGGGACUGAGACACGGCCCAGACUCCUACGGGAGGCAGCAGUGGGGAAUAUUGGACAAUGGGCGCAAGCCUGAUCCAGCCAUGCCGCGUGAGUGACGAAGGUCUUCGAUUGUAAACUCUUUUGGCGGGACGAUAAUGACGGUACCCGCAGAAUAAGCCCCGGCUAACUUCGUGCC
This 434-nucleotide ribosomal RNA is filed under the name uncultured bacterium. RNAcentral describes it as "bacterial SSU rRNA". It matches the Rfam family "Bacterial small subunit ribosomal RNA", at positions 29 to 509 of the family's 1533-position model. The record is from RNAcentral.